CUCAUUACAUUUAUUGUCACACUAUUUAACAGAAUAGUGAGGACUACUAAUACUAUCAUCUGGACCGUCACUCCGUUCCCCGACUAGUCCCGGCUACGUUCUCAUUUCCUGAAGAGAACAGUGAAAGAAAGGGUGAGCUCAACUAGCCCAGUAAGAAAUAUUAUGACUAAGAUAAUGCAGAAUAAAUUAUCAUUAGUCUUCAACAAUGUUAAACUGAUAAAAUACAAUAGACAUCAAGUUUAACUGCAGCGGAAUAAGCAAUCUAUUAGAAGAGUCAAGUAGAGCAUGAUAUCUACUAUCUUCUAUGAUUUAAAAUGUUUUCAUCAAUUUUUAUCGCUGAGACUCAGCUUAAUAAAUAAACCACAUCAUCGAGUCAUCCUUGCACUACGGGCCAAGGAUAUUCAUUAAAUCAUCAAUGGUCAUGACUCUACCGAAUAAUCCUUGGUCAUAAUCAUACCAAAAAUUGUCCAUCAAUGCACUAUAGGCUACCGAUGACUUUUACCACAUCAUUUAUAACAUUACAGGUCAUGAUUAUUGAUGAGUGAGUUUUAUACCCAUGAAUUGAAUGCGUUUGAGCUUAAUCUUUUGGAUGUUUUUAAGUGUUUGUGUCUAUUCAUGCAUGUUUUACGUUGUUUUGUAGGAAUUGGGACAAAAUUUACUUGGAUCGACGUUUGGGGUGGCUAGAUUCGCGUUUUUGGCUUGCCAUUUACACAGCAGUCACUUCAACGCCAAUUUGAGUAUUGUUCUGGACCUUAUUUCGAGAUCUCAAAGAAUUAAAGUUGUAGAUCUACGUCUCCUCUUUCCGGAAUAUCUUGAAUCAUCAAAAUCGGAGUUCGGACGAAGAAGUUAUAGCCAUUUUCUCAAAGGUCGUCGGAGCAGAAAAUGUCAGAAUAUGUGCCAGCGCCAGGGCGUCCAUUUUAAGCCUAUGCCCAGCGCCGGGGCACUGAGGAGCAGGGUUGCAGCGCCAUGCCCAAUGCUGGGGCGCUGGGGAAGAGACUGGGAAGGCUUGGACACAUUUUUGGGCAAAUUUUGACACCUUUUUGACUCCAAAUUGGAUUGAGUUUGUUCCUAAGCUAAAAAUUGGACUUGUAACCUAUAAAUACUUGAUGUAAGGCAUAAAAUAAGGGAGAUUACAUAGAUUAGAUUAGAGAUACACUCCAUUAGAUUAGAACAUAACCCUAGUUCUUAUUAGUUUUGGAGAUUGAAGCAACUUGGAGACCAUUGAAGAUUCAAAGCAGGAGCGAAAGAGGAGUCUCAAGACUACUGACAAUAGAUUUUCUUCUCUUCUCUUCUCUUCUCUUACUUCUAUCUUUUAAUGUUUAUUCAGUUGUGGAAUCUUGAUUUUAAUUCAAUAAUUAUGAACUAAUUUUUUCAUUAAGAUUUCAAUUGAACCUUUUAUGUCUAUAAAUUAGUUAUUCAAUUUAUUCCAAUUAUUUGUGUGAAAGUGAGUUGUUUAUCUUGCCUUAUGCUUAUUGAUUAAUUAUUUGGCCAAUAAUUACCUUGUUACUCUAGAAGGAAUUGAAAGAGGAGAUCUAGGGUUAGAACUGGGCAUGAUGACAUGUGACUUAGUUAUUUGCACAGUAAAUAAUUAGGUUUGUGAAUGAAAUGGAAAUAUCUCUUCGCCGCAUGUAACAUAUAAGGAAUUGGGAUUGAAAAGAGUUUAAUUCAAUUGUUUUGCAUAGGAAUAUAGCAAGAUUAAUCUGGAUUAAAUAGAAGGCAAUUGAUCACUUCGAAAAUGACUUUUGACAUUUGAGAAUUCCUGUUAACAAUUCAGUAGGCAUAAUAAUUGGGAUAAUUGGAUAAAUGAUUUAUAGUUCGUAAUUGGGGAUAUUGGAGUCUUAACCUUUAUUUAUUUGAAUUCAUUUAUAAAGCAAUUCAGUUUAAUUAGUUAAUUUAGUUUUCUUAAUUAGAAAAAUUACGAUUUGAGAUUGUUUAAAUAAAAUUAGUUUGGUUAAGAAUUAGUACUUGGUGAUUUUUAUUAAAUAAUUCCUCGUGGGAACGAUACUCUACUUUCACUUUAUUACUUGUUGACCGUGUAUACUUGCACGUAUUCAUUGAUUGCGAAAUCGAUCAACAAUUAUACCGAAUAAUCCUUGGUCAUAAUCAUACCAAGUCCAUCUAUGUACGUAAGCCAAAGAUGACUUUCAUCACAAUAUAAGCAUGAGGAUGAUGACAAUGACAUAAUAAUUCAAUAAAACAAGUUCAAGAAUAAAUUUUAAAGAUUUAUAAGUUAAUUUAUCUUGAAAUCAAUUACGUCCAAAUUGUCAACAUGAUACUGCUUUGUGGAGUAAAAUUCAAGAAUGCUCAAAAGAAUAUUUUCAUAAAAAGAUAACGGAUGAAGCGCAAAUAUCCAGGAUAUUCUACUAAUUUCAUGGAAUAUAGAAGCCAAAACUUUAACCAAAUGAGUAUCAUAGAAUAUAUGAAAUUGAAAAUGGAUUUUCACCCGCAAUGCUGUAAUCCACGUAGACAGAUCAUUUCCAUAAUUUAAUAAGGAAUGAAAACGAAGGAUCAUUCACCAUGCAUGUGAUAAUCCAUAUGGACAUGUUAUUCCAACAGAAUAAUAAAGAAUGGAACCAGGUCUAGCGUAAUCCGCACAGACAGGAUAUUCCAACAGAAUAAUAAAGAAUGGAACCAGGUCUAGCGUAAUCCGCACAGACAGGAUAUUCCAACAUAAUAAUAAAGUAUGAAAUAACAAAGAAUUCACCAUGCAUGAGAUAGACCGCACAGACAGGUUAUUCCAACAGAAUAAUAAAAAAUGGAACUAGGUCUAGCGUAAUCCGCACAAACAGGAUAUUCCAACAGAAUAAUAAAGAAUGGAAUAACAAAGAAUUCACCACCGCACAGAUAGGUUAUUCCAACAGAAUAAUAAAGAAUGGAACCAGGUCUAGCGUAAUCCGCACAGACAGGAUAUUCCAACAAAAUAAUAAAGAAUAAAAUAAUAGAAGAAUUUUACCAUGUAUGCAGUACUUCGCAUAGACAGGUUAUUUCAACAUAAUAAUAAAGAAUGGAAUAACAGAAGCUCUCUUCAUGAAUACGAAAGAAAUAAUAUCCCUUACCUUAAAUUAAAGCUAGAUACUAGAAUAGAGAGGUAGCAGACUUCUCUUCUUCUUUCUAUCUAUAAUUUUUCUCUAUAAUAAUUGCUCUAUAGCUUUAGUGAAUUGGUGAGAAAUGAAGGAAGAAUGAGCUUCUAUUUAUAUAAAAAUAUAAUUUCGAUAAUUGCACGUUUUGGGACUUGAAAUAUUACAGUACAAUACCUCCAACUUUUCUUUCAUUUUUAAUUUAGUCUUGCAAGUAUUAUCAAACUUGCACCACCUCCCUUAAUAGUAAAUAAUGUGAAUCAAUAGUUCAAUCAUGUGAUUCAAUAGUUAUAAUCAUGUGAAAAUAUGAAUAACAGUAUAGUACCUCCAUCUUUAACUUAGUCAUGCAAGUAUUAUUAAUCUUGCACCACCUCCCCUAAUAGUACAUGAAUGUGAAUCAAUAGUACACACAUGUGAACAAAUAGUUAUAAUCAUGUGAAUUAAUAGCAAUUAAUUCCUCAUUUAUCCGAUUAAUUACCCGAUAACUUCCAGACAUUAAUUAUUAUCAAAAUAAAUGUCAAUUUUCACAAACACUAAUAAUUCCAACACAAUGGAACUAUCAAUUUCAUCUUUAACCAACAUGAAUUUAUUCACAUUAAUAUUAUAACUCACAAUAUUUAACAACCAGGUCGUUUCCAGGAAAGAGGAGGCUUUCCGAUAAGGAUUUCUCCUUAUUGGCGCACAAUUAGAUGACCAAACCUCUCCUUGCAGAACUUCUAGACAUUGUAAAUAUUGUAAUUUAAUAAUAUGAAUAACUUUAUCAUCUCAAUUAUUGAUUUAAUAGUAUAUCAUAUUAUACAGAUGAUACUGUGACAAUAAUCGAAUCAAUAAUAUGAGAGAUAUGAUGCAACAAUUACUGUAACAAUAAUUGAGUAUAACUGAGUGACUUCUCACGUAAGCAUCAAUAAUCAAUACCGUUUGCUACUAUGCAACCACGCGUAUUACUGUACUUUUACUACCGGGUAGUUCAACAGUUUAACGGUAAAACUUCCGUCGUUAUUUUUAAAAAGAUAAUUAUGUCGUUUUCUAACUACGACAAUACUUCCGUUGUGGGGUCCACCAAUGAGUGUGUCAUCGUACGAAUAUUCCCUGUUAAAAUGAAUAUUCUCCGACCAAUCGAAUAUUAUAUAACCACUUGCUUACUUUGUAAAAUUUGUAAAUAUUACCCACAACUAUAACAUUAUAUCAAAUCUACACCAUAAUAUUCAAAAAUAUAUUUCGAAAAAAUUAUUCUUUAUUCAUAAAAGUUGGGGUCUUACACAAGUACCCUCUAUUGCGAGAAAGGCAUCACCACAAAAUACAAAAUAAUCAUAGUGCUCAAAUUUCCAAGUCUAGAAUUAAGAAUGGAAAAUACGAUAAAAAGAAUCUCAACCUGUAUCACACGACACCCAUGUGGAUGUGUUGAAAGAGUCAAAACUUGAUUAAAGACUGUUGAGAUAAUGAAUUGAAUAUGAUCUUCAGGAACACAUUCAAUACACUUUUGGAUUGAGAGGUUUUAACAGAGAAAUUCAUCAGGAUACAUCUCAGGAAAGACUAUAAACAGAUAUAUGUAACAUGUGGUGCAUAACAUUAUUAUGAGAAUAUAUAGUACUAUAUACUAUUGUGUUGAUAAACAUUAAAGUGCAACAUAAUUAGAAAUGACACCCUACUCAAACUAAUAUACAUCAAAAAUAAAAUUCACCUUAAAAGAUUCAUUCAGUAGUCAAGAGAAGAUGUUAAGAGAAUGAAGAAUUCUUCACACGGCCAGGCCAAGCAAGAGCAACACAUGAAGAAAAGAGACGUAAUGUUAACAGAUAAUAGUUAAUUACUUCUAUGACUUAUUUUGGAGACAUUAAUUUCCUAAAAGAUCCAAAUACGGAGUUGGGCUCAACCCGUAAAGUUUUAACGUAGAUAGUACACUGGAUUUUCGUCUAGCCCACGCAAGAAAAGCUUCAGCAUGAGACAAAAGAUUUACUUUUAAUCCAUAAAAUAAAAUAAUAAAUUAAUGAAGGGUAAUAAAAAGUUGAUAAACCCGUUGUCAUGAUAAGUUAAUAAUCCCGCCAUAGAGUUCAGUUGGGCUAGCUGUAACAUCAAGCAGCUAGAGCAGAGCAGAGACCACGCUUGCCAGUAGUAGUUAGUUGCCUUAUUUCUAUAGAAAAAUCUCUUGAAUAUAAAAAGGAUAGGAAAAGGGAGUUGACUAGUUUUGAUAUUGCUAGUACUCCUCUUCCAUUUUAUACAACUAAUAAAAAUUGAGAUGCUAAUAUUAAGGGAGGUUAAUGUCCAAAAAAAGAAGUAUUAAGGAAGUAUGACUCUAUUACGUACCAUCAAAUAAAUCUGAGAGGGUUAUGGUGCUUUUUAAAAUAUAGUGAUAUUUCCAGCGAAAUAAGCAAUAUUUAUAGGCCAACCUACAACUUUUAACACGACAUAAUUUGGCGGAGCAUUUUGGAACCACAUAACACAUAUAGUUGCGGAUAAAUGCAAGAGAGAGAAAGAGGAUAAUUUCAACAUUUUAUUAUUGUGAAAUUACAUAUCUAACUAUUUGAAUAACAGAGUUAACACCUGCAGUGUACGUCCUUUGAAACUUGAGAUUUAGAAAGUUAAUAGAACAAUAAAAUAAUUUUACCAAAAGAGAAACAAUUGUAAAAUUCCAAUCCAAGCCAAAAGCAAGAGGUGCAUCCCAAUAUCAAGAACAUCUCUUAGUCUAGUAGCAGCUGCAUAGACAACCAAAUUAAACGGAUUAUCAGUGGGAUACAAAUCUCCCCUUGGUGGGCCUGUGAAGUAAAUGAACCUUGGUGGUGGUGGUGCUCAUGGAGUGCAAUACUGCGUGGACGGAGGGUUUAUUGGAGGAACUGAGUAGGGAUUUUUCCAAAAUAGACUUUUAGGAAUAGACCAAAGCUUGCAUAUCGUCGUUAUAGUGAUAUGCUGUGCAGGUUGUUCUAACCACAAAUGGUUGCCUUUCUCACAAAAACAGAGAAAAAGUAUCCCAGAAAUCACAAAAGUAGCACAGAUCUACACAACAUUUUGAAAUUAUAUAUGCAAUGAUUGAAAUAAUUAACAAUACAAUCAUUCCAAUUGCAACAUAAAUUGACUCUAAAUAACAAAAAUUAGCAAGAAAAAUUAAAACCUGAGUUUUAGGAGAAAUUAACAAGGGAGGAAAUUAAAACCUUCAAUUGGACAAUAAUGAAAAAAUUAAAGGAGAAAGAGAAGAGAGAGCAGGUCGCCAUAACAAUACCGCCAAUAUUUAUGCCGCCACGACGCCACUAUUAUGCCGCCAUUACUGCUAGGGUUAGAGGGAGUUGAGAGAGAGGGGAAAGAGAUGUGAGAGGGCUUAUUUGAGUGAGGGGAAAGAGGGGCGCAGCCGACCUUGAGAUGCAUGCGAUCGAUCUAGUGAGGGAAAAGAACGAUCAAGUAGGUCUUUUUUCCCUUUACUUUUUUUCUCUGCGACUGGUGAAAUAAGAGUGAGAGAGCUAGGCCACAACGCUCCUGAUUGAACCAUCUGUUUAUUCAGACCUAGGCCACGUUCAUGUAGCUCUCUGAUUAAAACAUCUGUACAUGAAUUUUG
Molecule: long non-coding RNA, 6618 nt
Filed under: Panax ginseng (ginseng)
Lineage: Eukaryota; Viridiplantae; Streptophyta; Magnoliopsida; Apiales; Araliaceae
Description: long non-coding RNA (PGIN_LNC006935)
Source: RNAcentral